Molecule: ribosomal RNA, 497 nt
Filed under: uncultured bacterium
Lineage: Bacteria
Description: partial 16S ribosomal RNA
Rfam family: Bacterial small subunit ribosomal RNA
Source: RNAcentral
GAUGAACGCUGGCGGCGUGCCUAAUACAUGCAAGUCGAGCGAACAGACGAGGAGCUUGCUCCUCUGACGUUAGCGGCGGACGGGUGAGUAACACGUGGAUAACCUACCUAUAAGACUGGGAUAACUUCGGGAAACCGGAGCUAAUACCGGAUAAUAUAUUGAACCGCAUGGUUCAAUAGUGAAAGACGGUUUUGCUGUCACUUAUAGAUGGAUCCGCGCCGCAUUAGCUAGUUGGUAAGGUAACGGCUUACCAAGGCAACGAUGCGUAGCCGACCUGAGAGGGUGAUCGGCGACCUUGGAACUGAGACACGGUCAAGACUCCUAAGGGAGGCAGCAGAAGGGAAUCUUCCGCAAUGGGCGAAAGCCUGACGGAGCAACGCCGCGUGAGUGAUGAAGGUCUUCGGAGCGUAAAAAUCUGUUAUUAGGGAAGAACAAAUGUGUAAGUAACUAUGCACGUCUUGACGGUACCUAAUCAGAAAGCCACGGCUAACUACGUG